This 103-nucleotide small nuclear RNA is filed under the name Sciurus vulgaris (Eurasian red squirrel). The record is from RNAcentral. Lineage: Eukaryota; Metazoa; Chordata; Mammalia; Rodentia; Sciuridae.
UUGCUUUGGCAGCAAAUGUACUAAAAUGGGAAUGAUGCAGAGAAGAUUAGCACAGCCCCUGCACAAGGAUGACAUGCAAAUUCAUGAAGCGUUCCAUAUUUUU